This 72-nucleotide transfer RNA is filed under the name Nakamurella sp. RNAcentral's name for it is "tRNA-Val". It matches the Rfam family "tRNA". Rfam says of the family: Transfer RNA (tRNA) molecules are approximately 80 nucleotides in length. The record is from RNAcentral. Lineage: Bacteria; Bacillati; Actinomycetota; Actinomycetes; Nakamurellales; Nakamurellaceae. RNAcentral also lists the same sequence under 1 other name.
GGGCGUGUAGCUCAGCGGAAGAGCAUCUCGUUUACACCGAGACGGUCGGGGGUUCGAUCCCCUCCGCGCCCA